GUCAAUAUUCUGUGGCCAUUCUCUCCUAGAAACUCCCUCCUUCUGCGCCAAAUUUCAAAUUCGCUUUCUCCAAUGGACGAUUGCACAGUACUAUCGCUAGACUCAUCGCCGGUCUCUCCUUAUGAGCUUAUCUUCAAAGCUCUAUCUCUUAUUCCCAUCUCUCACUUUCUCUUAGGCCUCCUAUUGAUACUUCUCCUUUUCCUCUACAAUUUCCUCGAGAUUCAUUUCCUUCAAGAUCUGGUUACUGGAUUUAGAGGCGAUCCUGUGUUACUCACUUGCAGUUCCUCCUCUGAGCUCUACCAGUCCGUCGCUUCCAAGUGUCGGAUUCUUCACGGAAGGUUUUCUCCUACACCAUGGUUAUCUAGUCCUCAUCUCCAAACAGCUUUCUUGAGUCUUUUUGGGAAUUCUCCUAAUUUUUCCUAUAGAAGGCAUAUAUUCCAUGCUAAUGAUGGAGGAACAAUUGCUUUGGAUUGGCUAAUGUCCACUGAUGUUGAACAAGGUGUCUGCUGCAAUAAUGAUGCUGUUCUACGGGAUGAUAAAGCUCCAAUUGUAAUAGUGAUUCCUGGCUUAACUAGUGACUCUGCCUCUGCUUAUAUCAAGCAUCUUGCUCUCACGAUGGCAAGGCAGGGUUGGAAUGUUGUUGUAUGCAAUCAUCGGGGAUUGGGAGGCAUGUCAAUAACUUCUGAUUGCUUCUAUAAUGCUGGGUGGACAGAGGACGUUCGGAGUAUCAUUGAUCAUAUUCACUGUGAAUAUCCAGAAGCUCCUCUAUAUGCGGUUGGCACUAGCAUUGGUGCCAAUAUUCUGGUAAAAUAUCUUGGAGAACAAGGGGUUACUAUUCCUCUUACUGGUGCUGCUGCUGUCUGCUCUCCUUGGGACCUUUUGAUAUGUGACAGGUUCAUCAACCGCAGGCUUGUGCAGAAGUUCUAUAAUAAAGUGCUAGCUAUUGGCCUACAAGGUUAUGCGCAAUUGUAUGUCUAAAUUACUUCUGCUUUGUUUCUUGACAUUGAAUCUCUCAUUAUAGCGGUGGUGUAUAGCACAGUGAUUCUAUAGAAAAUUCAUUUGAUUUCUACUUUGUUUAGUUGUGUCAACUCUCUGUAGAGUUAAUUUUUACAGUUAAUUUGUACUUUCCUGCAGGCAUCAUUCUAUCUUGUCUCGUCUAAUAGAAUGGGACAGUGUCAAGCUGUCACGUUCAGUUAGAGACUUCGACAAGCAUGCUACCCGAGUUCUUGCGAAGUUUGAGACUGUGGAUACCUACUACAGGCGUUCUAGUUGUGUAAAUUUGGUGGGAAAUGUCACUGCCUCUUCUUUGUGUGAGUGCUCUUGAUGAUCCAGUUUGUACAAGGGAAGCCAUCCCAUGGGAUGAAUGUAGGUAAGGAGUCAGUAGUCAGCAUCCUUACUGUUCGCCGCACCUCGUUCGGCUCUAUGCGCUUUUUUCAAUAUGUGUGCCAUUACUUGAAGAAAACUCGAAGUGCUUUAUUCCACUACUUGGAGCUGUUAAAAAUGUGCCUUAGGCCCUAUGCGUAUCCAAGGCACAAGCAUUAAGCUUUAGCACCAAUAGCUUUUUAACUUUUGACUGAAAAAUUCACCUGAGGCAUACAAGUCACGCUCCCACACCAAAAGUUUUUAGGCACAAAAAGGCAUGCCCCAGAAACCUUCUUUCCUAAACUUUAGUUCUAACCUGUGUCACUUGGACUUGGGUGCUAGGAUUGGAUAGGAACAUAUUUCUGGAAGCCAGACUUGCCUACUUUUUGAAUGUUGAUAAUUGCUUCAACAAAUUUGAUGUGCCAAAGUGUCAUAUGAAUGUUUGAGUACCGUUAUGGGCUAAAGGGAAGGGUCCAAGUAAGAAUGGUUUUAACCUGAAGUAAGUUUCAGCACAAGUAGAGAUUUGCUCCACGGUCCAAGUUUUGUCCGCCAACAUUAUAAUGUUACACCUGCUGACCUACACUUCUCGUGAGAAAGAUCAAUCAGCCUUGAGGGAUAUUUUUAUAUCUAAAGUAACAUUUGGGUGUACUUGCUAUCAAAACUUAUGGAUGUAUCAGUUGAUGAGCAACAGAUGCCCUAGUACUAGCACUACAGCAGAUCUUCGAUGCUGAUGCUUACCGCAAUAUUUUGGAGUAUGCUGAGGCAUGUUUAUGCAUGUUGAAAAAUUUAAAAGUACUCAUACAAUAUCAUGCCAAAUUUAUGUUUAUAUUUUCAUUAAUUGGCAUAGUUUGUACCUUUUUAUGCCAAGUAAUAUUCCAUAUUUUGCAAAGCUGAUAAUAUUACUACUUUACUUUCUACUACUUUUCAAUUUUAUAUGAAACUGAUUUUGUUUGAUUUACUUUAGGGCAAAUGAGAACAUUAUCCUUGCUACCACACGGCAUGGAGGACACCUAGCUUAUUAUGAGGGGAUCACUGCAAAUAACUUGUGGUGGGUGAGGGCUGUUGAUGAAUUCUUUCAUGCCCUGCAAUCUAGCCCAUUGAGAAACAGAAGAAAGAAGAUGGAAGAAUCGAACAUGACUUCUGUGCUGGAAUCCUCGAUUGAUCAGGGGCCCUAUGUGAAUGUUAGGGAAGACGGAAUGGUGACUGCAAUAGGCAACACCAAAGAUAAUGUUGCAGAAGAUACACCCAACGAAGAUGGGGAUCAUGUUAAGAGGGAUGAAGAAAACAUUUCUGAAAGAGAAAGGAGAGAUAACAUGACAGAGGAAACACAUUCCAAAACUGAUCUCAAGCAGCGAUUAGAUCAAAAUCUCAAUGAUCUGAUAGUUCCUAUAAGAAGACACAUGGGUCAGCUCUCACGAGGGUGUAGGAUUUCAAUCUGGCUACUCGCAUACAUUGCAGUUGUAACAACCUGGCCGCUGGUUGGUUCAGCUCUUCUUUUGUUCAUCAACAGAAAGUUCAAAAACAUCAUUCCGGGGUCAUUGCUUAGAAGAUAGCAUACGUCGAACUAUAAAAAUUAUUGUCAUUCUUGCUGGGUAUCCUGACCAUGAUGAAUUGGUCUAAAUAAUGAUAAGAUUUACCGUCUUCAUAAGCAGAAUAAAGAUGCUAAUUAUAUGUCAUCAGAAAUUGUAAAGCAUCCAACCAACUUCAAUGGUAUUAGAGUCGUCUAAAAGGUUAUAAAGGCUCAAGUUCGAUUUUCAAUCAGAAAUAAAUGACUCAAAAAGAAUUUGGGAG
Molecule: unclassified non-coding RNA, 3153 nt
Filed under: Hevea brasiliensis (rubber tree)
Lineage: Eukaryota; Viridiplantae; Streptophyta; Magnoliopsida; Malpighiales; Euphorbiaceae
Source: RNAcentral